This 547-nucleotide ribosomal RNA is filed under the name uncultured bacterium. RNAcentral's name for it is "bacterial SSU rRNA". It matches the Rfam family "Archaeal small subunit ribosomal RNA", at positions 728 to 1274 of the family's 1478-position model. The record is from RNAcentral.
AAUAGAUACCCGGGUAGUCCCAGCCGUAAACGAUGCUCGCUAGGUGUCAGGCAUGGCGCGACCGUGUCUGGUGCCGCAGGGAAGCCGUGAAGCGAGCCACCUGGGAAGUACGGCCGCAAGGCUGAAACUUAAAGGAAUUGGCGGGGGAGCACAACAACGGGUGGAGCCUGCGGUUUAAUUGGACUCAACGCCGGACAACUCACCGGGGACGACAGCAAUAUGUAGGCCAGGCUAAAGACCUUGCCUGAAUCGCUGAGAGGAGGUGCAUGGCCGUCGCCAGUUCGUACUGUGAAGCAUCCUGUUAAGUCAGGCAACGAGCGAGACCCGUGCCCACUGUUACCAGCAUGUCCUCCGGGACGAUGGGUACUCUGUGGGGACCGCCGAUGUUAAAUCGGAGGAAGGUGCGGGCUACGGUAGGUCAGUAUGCCCCGAAUUUCCCGGGCUACACGCGGGCUACAAUGAAUGGGACAAUGGGUCCCUACCCCGAGAGGGGUUGGUAAUCUCCCAAACCCAUCCGUAGUUCGGAUCGAGGGCUGUAACUCGCCCU